AUUUAUCAAAUUAUAUUGCACACAUAAUCAUGGCUUUGAAAUCACCCCUAGCCAAGAGGGGUUUAGUCACUCAUAUUUACAACAAAACGAAAGGAAAUGAAUUUAAACAUUAGAAACAAAAGAAAGAAAACACCUAAACGCUCCAAUAAUCCAAGUUGGACAGCAAGCACGUCCAAGCACUUUCCUUCCCUUCCUUUGCUACGGCACAAGGUGUUAGUGAGUGUUUGAAGGUUUGUUUGUAUGGAGGAAUGGAUGUGAAGAUGAAUGGAUGUGUUUGGAUGAAGGUUGUGUUGAAAUGGGAGUGAAUGAUCUAACCAAGUAUGAACUCAAUUUAUGUUACACACACUU
This 348-nucleotide long non-coding RNA is filed under the name Malus domestica (apple). Its description in RNAcentral is "long non-coding RNA (MDOM_LNC007033)". The record is from RNAcentral. Lineage: Eukaryota; Viridiplantae; Streptophyta; Magnoliopsida; Rosales; Rosaceae.